GAUGAACGCUGGCGGCGUGCCUAAUACAUGCAAGUCGAGCGAACAGACGAGGAGCUUGCUCCUCUGACGUUAGCGGCGGACGGGUGAGUAACACGUGGAUAACCUACCUAUAAGACUGGGAUAACUUCGGGAAACCGGAGCUAAUACCGGAUAAUAUAUUGAACCGCAUGGUUCAAUAGUGAAAGACGGUUUUGCUGUCACUUAUAGAUGGAUCCGCGCCGCAUUAGCUAGUUGGUAAGGUAACGGCUUACCAAGGCGACGAUGCGUAGCCGACCUGAGAGGAUAAGCAGCCCCACUGAAAAUGACAAACGACACAACCCCAACGGGAGACGGAGAGUAGGGAUACUCACGGAAGGGGGGAAAGCCAGUGGAACAAAGGCGACAGGAUUAAAAAGAAUUUACGUUUCAAAAAACGUUUUUUUUAGGGAAAAAAAAAUUUGUAAAAAAAAAAACCAGAAUGACCGUACCCAAAGAAGAAGCCACCGCCAAACCCGCG
This 496-nucleotide ribosomal RNA is filed under the name uncultured bacterium. Its description in RNAcentral is "partial 16S ribosomal RNA". It matches the Rfam family "Bacterial small subunit ribosomal RNA", at positions 28 to 507 of the family's 1533-position model. The record is from RNAcentral.